GCGGCCGCGCGGGUCAGGACCGCCGCGCCGCCAGGGGGCGCGCUCGCCGCCCGCCGUCGGGCCGCCCCCGCGGCUCUCUCCGCCCGGCGCCGGCGGGGGAGGGCGGGGGGCGUGGUCGCCGGGCGCCCCCUCUCCGCCCCCCCCGCCCCCCCCCCCCCCGCCCCGCGUCCGUCCCCAUCUCGGUCCCCGCCCCGCCUCGUCCCUCUCUGCUGCGCUCUCCGGUCGGCUCGUCUCCGCCUCGCCCCGUCCCCCUCUGUCUCUCUGUCCAGGCCGUCGUCUCCUUCCCUCCCUGCCUCCGUCUCGUUCGGUGUCGGCUGGUCCAGGACUCAUCCGCCCACGGUCACCCUCCUCAUUAAAGAUAAGGAGGAAGAGGUGGAAGAUUAUUUACCAUCAGCUGGCCCCCGGAGGUAUCUUUAACCUGGGCCCAGAAGGGAAACUAUCUUUGAAGAUCCAACCAAUCCCCACACCCCCCCUGGUCGCUGGGUUUCCUGAUGGCUCAGAGAGAAGGCAGGAGCCUCACAAAGCCAGCAGGCAGGU
Long non-coding RNA from Neofelis nebulosa (Clouded leopard), 537 nucleotides. RefSeq lists it as uncharacterized. The transcript is spliced from 2 exons. The record is from RefSeq and is a predicted model, not a curated record. Lineage: Eukaryota; Metazoa; Chordata; Mammalia; Carnivora; Felidae.